GACAGAGGUGCCAAGCGUUAGGCGGAAUCACUGGGCUUAAAGCGUGUGUAGGCGGAAUUGUAAGUACCUUGUGAAAUCCCACAGCUCAACUGUGGAACUGCUCGGUAUACUGCUUUUCUUGAGCCACUUAGGGGCUGUCGGAACAAACGGUGGAGCGGUGAAAUGCGUAGAUAUCAGGAAGAACACCCGUGGCGAAGGCGGCUCUCUGGGACGGUACUGACGCUGAGACGCGAAAGCGUGGGGAGCGAACAGG
RNAcentral lists this ribosomal RNA (253 nucleotides) under uncultured bacterium. RNAcentral describes it as "partial 16S ribosomal RNA". It matches the Rfam family "Bacterial small subunit ribosomal RNA", at positions 524 to 776 of the family's 1533-position model. The record is from RNAcentral.